GAUGAAGAACGUAGCGAAAUGCGAUACUUGGUGUGAAUUGCAGAAUCCCGUGAACCAUCGAGUCUUUGAACGCAAGUUGCGCCCGAAGCCACUAGGCCGAGGGCACGCCUGCCUGGGCGUCACACGCCGUUGCCCCCCCAUCUACUCCUUCGGGAUUGCGGGGGGGCGGAUGAUGGCCUCCCGUGCGCCUAGCCGCGCGGUUGGCAUAAAUACCAAGUCCUCGGCGACGCACGCCACGACAAUCGGUGGUUGCGAAACCUCGGUUGCCCGUCGUGUGCGUUCGUCGCGCAUCNNGGGCUCGAAAAAAUGCUCGGCUCCGGCUGGGCUUUCAACGCGACCCCAGGUCAGGCGGGGUUACCCGCUGAAUUUAAGCAUAUCAAUAAGCGGAGGA
RNAcentral lists this unclassified non-coding RNA (391 nucleotides) under soil metagenome. RNAcentral describes it as "partial contains 5.8S ribosomal RNA, internal transcribed spacer 2, and large subunit ribosomal RNA". The stretch from base 1 to 122 matches the Rfam family "5.8S ribosomal RNA", at positions 35 to 154 of the family's 154-position model. The record is from RNAcentral.